RNAcentral lists this ribosomal RNA (425 nucleotides) under Verrucomicrobiota bacterium. RNAcentral describes it as "Verrucomicrobia bacterium partial 16S ribosomal RNA". It matches the Rfam family "Bacterial small subunit ribosomal RNA", at positions 355 to 776 of the family's 1533-position model. Lineage: Bacteria; Pseudomonadati; Verrucomicrobiota. The record is from RNAcentral.
UGAGGAAUAUUGGUCAAUGGGCGAGAGCCUGAACCAGCCACGUCGCGUGAAGGAAGACUGACCUUACGGUUUGUAAACUUCUUUUGUAGAGGGGUAAUGGCAGAUACGUGUAUUUGCGUGAAAGUACUCUACGAAUAAGCAUCGGCUAACUCCGUGCCAGCAGCCGCGGUAAUACGGGGGAUGCGAGCGUUAUCCGGAAUUAUUGGGUUUAAAGGGUGCGCAGGUGGCUAUUCAGGUCAGUGGUGAAAAGCUAUGGCUCAACCAUGGUCUUGCCAUUGAAACCGUAUAGCUAGAGAGGAGACGAGGUAGGCGGAAUGUGUGGUGUAGCGGUGAAAUGCAUAGAUAUCACACAGAACUCCGAUUGCGAAGGCAGCUUACCAGGCUUUAUCUGACACUUAGGCACGACAGCGUGGGGAGCAAACAGG